UUUAAAAAUCUUAAAAAAAAAUAACAGUUCCUACCUCAUAGGAUUAUUGUGAGGAUUAAAUAAGUAACUGUAAAGUUUUUAGAAAAAAAAUAUCUGUGCAGAUACUUCAGAGAUGGGCUCCAGGGACUGACUGGCAAGCAGGUCCUCCACCACAGGUUACAGUGCUGUCCCUAGGGAACACCUCCUUUCUCCCAGGGCCAGCUUCCACUGGUGCGCAGAGUCCCCGCAGGGACCCCUGGGGUCUCAGACUGCCCAGUGUGUGUGUGUGUGUGUAUGCCUCGUGCUCAGACUAAACGUUCAGCAUGCGUGGUGCCCAUUGUUGCCUGCCUGAUCUCCUGCACAUUUUGUUGUCCCAUUGGACUACAGUUACAUAACACAGGUUCUAAGAUAUUAUUAUUAAGAAUUUCAAGAUGUGAGAGCAGAGCACUAAACAAAACCUUUGAGAGCAGGGCCUUGUCCAAGUUCACAGGUCACACACGUGUCCAUGAAACCAUUCCUGAAUCCAGUAGUUCUCAAUCAGGGGUCAUUUUGCCUAUGAGGGUGGGCUACUUUGGGCUCUAAUUACGUGAGAUUCCAACUGAGCCCCUGAAAGCAAGAGUGACAAGAUAUAUUAGCACCAAAAGUAGGCCCUAACCCUUCUUUUUGCACUCUCAAGCACAGGGAUUGUCCAGUGGAACCUUCUGGGACACUCCAGUCCUGGGCAGUUCCUAUAGCUGCUGUCAGCUGUACUUUCCUUCCUCAAGAGACCUGGACAACUUGCGUGAUGGGAGACGGUGUGGUGACAAUAACGGACAUGGAAAUUGCCAGCUCAGACCCCUGAGGACUGCUGAGGAAGAACUUGACAGACUUCGCCCACCCCCCAACCCCCGGAUGGGUGAAAUGGAUGAAGGAGAUCAAAAGCUCAUUGGACAGAUGUCUGAAAGAAAAAUUGCUUGGUCAAAAGGAAGAACAUCUAACAACCAUUCACGGACAAGACACCACUGAGAAAAUCCUAAAACAUGGAAGUGAGGCUGAAGUACCCUCUUGUACCACAGAGACCAAGACAGACUGCAUUGGGAGGACAUGAUACAACAUGGAUGAAUGUCAAAAACAUGCUGAGUGGAAGUAGACAGACACAGAAGCUUACAUAACAUAUAAUUCCAUUUAUCUCCAUAUGAAAUAUCCAGAACAGGUAAAUUCAUAGAGACAGGAAGCAUACUGGUGGUUGCCAGGGGCUGAGGGAGGAAAUGAAUGAGGAGUGUCUGCUUAACGGGUACCAGGUUUCCUUUUAGGGUGAUGAAAAUGUUUUGGAACUAGAGAGAGGUGUUAGUUGCAAAGCUGUGAAUGUACUAAAUGGUACUAUAUUUUUCAUGUUAAAAUGGUUGAUUUUAUGUGAUGAACUUCACUUCAAUAAAAAUUUUAAAAAAAUAAA
Aethalodelphis obliquidens (Pacific white-sided dolphin) is the source of this 1411-nucleotide long non-coding RNA. RefSeq lists it as uncharacterized. The record is from RefSeq and is a predicted model, not a curated record. Lineage: Eukaryota; Metazoa; Chordata; Mammalia; Artiodactyla; Delphinidae. The transcript has 5 exons.